CCUACGGGGCGCAGCAGUGAGGAAUAUUGGUCAAUGGGCUUACGCCUGAACCAGCCAAGCCGCGUGAGGGAGGAAGGUACAGAGUAUCGUAAACCUCUUUUGUCAGGGAACAAAGACUGGGACGCGUCCCCGGAUGAGUGUACCUGAAGAAAAAGCAUCGGCUAACUCCGUGCCAGCAGCCGCGGUAAUACGGAGGAUGCGAGCGUUAUCCGGAUUUAUUGGGUUUAAAGGGUGCGCAGACGGUCUGUUAAGCCAGCGGUCAAAGCCCGGGGCUCAACCCCGGCCCGCCGUUGAAACUGGCAGUC
RNAcentral lists this ribosomal RNA (305 nucleotides) under uncultured bacterium. RNAcentral's name for it is "bacterial SSU rRNA". It matches the Rfam family "Bacterial small subunit ribosomal RNA", at positions 338 to 641 of the family's 1533-position model. The record is from RNAcentral.